Molecule: ribosomal RNA, 458 nt
Filed under: uncultured bacterium
Lineage: Bacteria
Description: SSU rRNA
Rfam family: Bacterial small subunit ribosomal RNA
Source: RNAcentral
AGGACAAACGCUGGCGGCGUGCGUAACACAUGCAAGUCGAACGAGCCGAGAGAUCGGCGAGUGGCGGACGGGUGAGGAACACGUGGAUAACCGACCCUUGACUGGGGAAUACCAAGACGAAAGUUUUGUUAAUACCGCAUACGCUGGAGACAGGAAAGCUCUUCGGAGCGGUCGAGGACGGGUCUGCGAACGAUUAGCUAGUUGGUGUGGGUAAUGGCUCACCAGGGCGACGAUCGGUAGCUGGUCUGAGAGGACGAUCAGCCACACUGGGAUUGAGAACGGCCCAGACUCCUACGGGGGGCAGCAGUGAGGAAUUUUCGUCAAUGGGGGCAACCCUGAACGAGCAACGCCGCGUGCAGGAAGAAGGUUUUCGGAUCGUAAACUGCUUUUCGUCGGGGAAGAGAACGGACGGUACCCGAGGAAUCGACGCCCCGGCUAACGUACGCGCCAGCAGCCGC